This 486-nucleotide ribosomal RNA is filed under the name uncultured Lachnospiraceae bacterium. Its description in RNAcentral is "bacterial SSU rRNA". It matches the Rfam family "Bacterial small subunit ribosomal RNA", at positions 1 to 507 of the family's 1533-position model. The record is from RNAcentral. Lineage: Bacteria; Bacillati; Bacillota; Clostridia; Lachnospirales; Lachnospiraceae.
AGAGUUUGUAGUCCUGGCGUCAGGAUGAACGCUGGCGGCGUGCUAACACAUGCAAGUCGAACGGGAACAGAAUGAACUAGUGAUUUUGUUUUAGUGGCGGACGGGUGAGUAACGCGUGGGUAACCUGCCGUAUACAGGGGGAUAACACUUAGAAAUAGGUGCUAAUACCGCAUAAGCGCACAGCUUCGCAUGGAGCAGUGUGAAAAGCGUAAACGGUAUACGAUGGACCCGCGUCUGAUUAGCUAGUUGCGGGGUAGAGGCCCACCAAGGCGACGAUCAGUAGCCGGCCUGAGAGGGUGACCGGCCACAUUGGGACUGAGACACGGCCCAAACUCCUACGGGAGGCAGCAGUGGGGAAUAUUGCACAAUGGGGGGGACCCUGAUGCAGCGACGCCGCGUGAGUGAAGAAGUAUUUCGGUAUGUAAAGCUCUAUCAGCAGGGAAGAAAAUGACGGUACCUGACUAAGAAGCCCCGGCUAACUACGUG